GAUGAACGCUGGCGGCGUGCCUAAUACAUGCAAGUCGAGCGAACGGACGAGAAGCUUGCUUCUCUGAUGUUAGCGGCGGAAGGGGUAGUAACACGUGGAUAACCUACCUAUCAAACUGGGAUAACUUCGGGAAACCGGAGCUAAUACCGGAUAAUAUUUUGAACCGCAUGGUUCAAAAGUGAAAGACGGUCUUGCUGUCACUCAUAGAUGGAUCCGCGCUGCAUUAGCUAGUUGGUAAGGUAACGGCUUAGCAAGGCAACGAUGCAUAGCCGACCCGAGAGGGUGACCGGCCACACGGGAACUGAGAGGCGGACCGGACCCCUACGGGAAGCAGCAGUAGGGAAUCUUCCGCGAUGGGCGAAGGCAUGGAGGGGCAACUGCGCGUGAGUGAUGAAGGUCUUCGGAUCGUAAAACUCUGUUAAUAGGGAAGAACAUAUGUGUAAGUAACUGUGCAGAUCUUGACGGUACCUAAUCAAAAAGCCACGGCUAACUACGUG
Molecule: ribosomal RNA, 497 nt
Filed under: uncultured bacterium
Lineage: Bacteria
Description: partial 16S ribosomal RNA
Rfam family: Bacterial small subunit ribosomal RNA
Source: RNAcentral